GGGGUUGGGGCUCAAUGGUAGAGCGCUUGCCUAGUAUGUGAGAGGCCCUGGGUUCGAUCCUCAGUAACCCCC
Molecule: transfer RNA, 72 nt
Filed under: Marmota marmota marmota (Alpine marmot)
Lineage: Eukaryota; Metazoa; Chordata; Mammalia; Rodentia; Sciuridae
Also listed under: 1 other name
Rfam family: tRNA
About the family: Transfer RNA (tRNA) molecules are approximately 80 nucleotides in length.
Source: Rfam by way of RNAcentral